AGUUAAUAAGGUUGUUGUUAAUACGCCCCCCGGCAUUUGUGAGAAGCUCUCUGUGAUCAAGUGCUGGGAUUGCAAGUGAACAACUUCGCUGCGAGAGAGAUUUUCAUACCUCUACUGUCUAUAAGCGGUAUCUUAUAAAUACCGAGGUCCUUUGUUUCACUCUGUCCAGACGUGGUAUCUUAUAAAUACCAAGAACUCUCUGUUUAACCCUGUCCAGACGUGGUAUCUUAUAAAUACCGAAAGAUUUUCCUUGUUUUCUGCUUUGCGGUGAGAUUGUAUCAUGGGGAAAUCCCACAGUAAGGGAAAGAAACAAAA
Spea bombifrons (plains spadefoot toad) is the source of this 315-nucleotide long non-coding RNA. RefSeq lists it as uncharacterized. NCBI's taxonomy places the organism in Eukaryota, Metazoa, Chordata, Amphibia, Anura, Pelobatidae. The transcript is spliced from 2 exons. The record is from RefSeq and is a predicted model, not a curated record.